This 505-nucleotide ribosomal RNA is filed under the name uncultured Lachnospiraceae bacterium. RNAcentral's name for it is "bacterial SSU rRNA". It matches the Rfam family "Bacterial small subunit ribosomal RNA", at positions 8 to 507 of the family's 1533-position model. The record is from RNAcentral. Lineage: Bacteria; Bacillati; Bacillota; Clostridia; Lachnospirales; Lachnospiraceae.
AGAGUUUGAUCCUGGCUCAGGAUGAACGCUGGCGGCGUGCCUAACACAUGCAAGUCGAACGGAUCCAUAUUGAAACCUAGUGAUGUAUGGAUUAGUGGCGGACGGGUGAGUAACGCGUGGAUAACCUGCCGUAUACAGGGGGAUAACACUUAGAAAUAGGUGCUAAUACCGCAUAAGCGCACGGUUCCGCAUGGAACAGUGUGAAAAACUCCGGUGGUAUACGAUGGAUCCGCGUCUGAUUAGCCAGUUGGCGGGGUAACGGCCCACCAAAGCGACGAUCAGUAGCCGGCCUGAGAGGGUGAACGGCCACAUUGGGACUGAGACACGGCCCAAACUCCUACGGGAGGCAGCAGUGGGGAAUAUUGCACAAUGGGGGAAACCCUGAUGCAGCGACGCCGCGUGAGUGAAGAAGUAUUUCGGUACGUAAAGCUCUAUCAGCAGGGAAGAAAACCGGCCUUAGGGCCGCCAGACGGUACCUGACUAAGAAGCCCCGGCUAACUACGUG